RNAcentral lists this ribosomal RNA (216 nucleotides) under Glomeromycotina sp. RNAcentral describes it as "partial small subunit ribosomal RNA". The stretch from base 40 to 216 matches the Rfam family "Eukaryotic small subunit ribosomal RNA", at positions 686 to 864 of the family's 1831-position model. The record is from RNAcentral. Lineage: Eukaryota; Fungi; Glomeromycota.
GGGUCAGUAGGUUGGUCGUGCCACCGGUACGUACUGGUCUCACUGAUUCCUCCUUCCUGAAGAACCGUAAUGCCAUUAAUUUGGUGUUGCGGGGAAACAGGACUGUUACUUUGAAAAAAUUAGAGUGUUUAAAGCAAGCUAACGCCUGAAUACAUUAGCAUGGAAUAAUGAAAUAGGACGAUCGAUCCUAUUUUGUUGGUUUCUAGGAUUGACGUA